CCCGUAACGAGCGCAACCCUUGUCCUUAGUUACCAGCACGUUAUGGUGGGCACUCUAAGGAGACUGCCGGUGACAAACCGGAGGAAGGUGGGGAUGACGUCCAGUCAUCAUGGCCCUUACGGCCUGGGCUACACACGUGCUACAAUGGUCGGUACAGAGGGUUGCCAAGCCCCGAGGUGGAGCUAAUCUCACAAAACCGAUCGUAGUCCGGAUCGCAGUCUGCAACUCUACUGCUUGAAGUCGGAAUCGCUUGUAAUCGCGAAUCAGAAUGUCUCGGUGAAUACGUU
This 287-nucleotide ribosomal RNA is filed under the name Pseudomonas putida. RNAcentral describes it as "partial 16S ribosomal RNA". It matches the Rfam family "Bacterial small subunit ribosomal RNA", at positions 1086 to 1372 of the family's 1533-position model. Lineage: Bacteria; Pseudomonadati; Pseudomonadota; Gammaproteobacteria; Pseudomonadales; Pseudomonadaceae. The record is from RNAcentral.